UACGGGGGGGGCAAGCGUUGUUCGGAAUUACUGGGCGUAAAGCGUGCGCAGGCGGUUUUGUAAGCCAGAUGUGAAAUCCCCGGGCUUAACCUGGGAAUGGCAUUUGGGACUGCAAGGCUGGAGUUUGGCAGAGGAGACUGGAAUUCCUGGUGUAGCAGUGAAAUGCGUAGAUAUCAGGAGGAAUACCGAUGGCGAAGGCAGGUCUCUGGGCUAUAACUGACGCUCAUGCACGAAAGCGUGGGGAGCAAACAGG
RNAcentral lists this ribosomal RNA (253 nucleotides) under uncultured bacterium. RNAcentral describes it as "partial 16S ribosomal RNA". It matches the Rfam family "Bacterial small subunit ribosomal RNA", at positions 524 to 776 of the family's 1533-position model. The record is from RNAcentral.